This 4964-nucleotide ribosomal RNA is filed under the name Triticum aestivum (bread wheat). RNAcentral's name for it is "partial small subunit ribosomal RNA". The record is from RNAcentral. Lineage: Eukaryota; Viridiplantae; Streptophyta; Magnoliopsida; Poales; Poaceae.
AAUUUUUCUUCCUUUUAUAAACAAAAGAUGGCCUACUAAAAAGAGUCCGAAUUUGGCGGGCGAUGCCCGCGGUGCGCAGGACCAUCCCCGAGCGGGUGUACGGCCGGAAUAGAGAAGUAGAAAGUAGACCUCGCGCGAGCUAGGGGAAGCAGAGAAAAGGUGGUGUUCGGGCAAAGGUCAUCGGAAUAGAGGAUUUUUUUGUCAGCUAGGGGAAGCAAAAGCGUGCUGGUGGUACCAGACGAAGAGUUCGAAGUGGACGACAACAAGUUCCAGGUGUCGCAACACUGCGCCACUAAAAACAACUGCUUUGUCGGCCACGACGUUGCGUCGGAGCAACAACUGAACUAACGACGGCCGCGACGCUGAGCUGCCACGACGGCCACAACGAUACGCUGCGAGCAGCUACGGCCACGAAGCUGCGCCGCGAGCGGCCGCGACGUUGCGUCGUGUGCCCUCCUCUCCAACUCGACGAGCGCGCCGAGACAACGUUGCGUCGUGCUUCCGGCCUCAGCCCGCGGCGAGCGGCGGCCACUACGUUGCGUCGUGUGUUCCUCCUCCGAGCCGACGAGCGCAGCCACAACGGGACCUUCGAAAUAGCGCGGCGCCCUCGACGUUACCUCGCGGCGGACCCGACGCUACCUCGGCGGCGCCUCGAGGUAACUUCGAAGCGGCCUCAACUACUUCGCGGCGGGCCCGACGCUACCUCGGCGGCGCCUCGAGGUAACUUCGAAGCGGCCUCAACUACUUCGUGACGGCCUCGACUUUGCUUCUCUUCGGCCUCGAUGUUACUUCGCGUCGCCCCCCAGCAACUUCGAAGCGGUCUCAGUUACUACGUGGCGGCCUCAACGUUGCUUCGCAGCGGCCUCGACGUUACUUCGCGUCGCCCCCCAACAACUUCGAAGCGGCCUCAGCUACUUCGUGGCGGCCUCAACGUUACUUCGCGUCACCCCCGAGCAACUUCGAAGCGGCCUCAGCUACUCCGUGGUGGCCUCGACGUUGCUUCUCAGUGGCCUCGACGUUACUUCGCAACUCCCCAGCAACUUCGAGGUGGCCUCUACGUUACCUCGCAGCGGGAGCGGCCACUACGUUACCUCGCGGCGGCCUGCGGCUUCCACGACGGUACCCUCGACGCUCGCCACUUGUCCACAACGUGACCUCUCUGCUCCUAAGUUAAAAGAGAACCCGACACGUGCACCGGAUCGACCGUGUUACCUGCCGACGCGUUUCGGAGUAGAUUGCCGAGUGCUCCUCCAAAUUUUAACCCAUCGCAGUCGGCCUACUAAACAUCAUCGCGGGAUCUUUCUUACCUGUGAGGGAUUAUUAAUCCAUGCUCGAAAAAACUCCCUGAUAGAAUUUUAACGAGAAAUUCGUUUGUCAAGGUCUGCCACUCGUCCUCGAGAACAGAGUGCGCGUGUACGUCCUAUCGUUCCAUGAACGCAAUAGUACCCAGGGCUUCCUACUUCGUGGAGGUGGUCUAGCCACUUCAACUAGUGAUGUUACCCAGGGCAACGACCUCCGCCCCAUCUGUCUUCGUGUACACGUAGGCGCUCGUCACUCAGAUACAGCGGAGCUGAUCUUGUUAACUUCUACCCUAGUACUCCUGCUAAUUUCGUUACUUUUAUGAACGUGGGUAAGAACAAGUCUUCGUCUCCAAUUCCAUCAACUCGUACCAGGGCUGGUUCGAAACAUAUAGCGGUGGCAGGUCGGACAACUCUGCUUGUAUCUCCGUGUACUAAACGAACGCGCGUUAGAACUCCUUGGUGAACCGGAACCAUUCCUCUAUCGAACCCGCUUCCGGUUCCGAACUGGGGUCUGGAACUAGACAGCCGACCAGGUCUUACAUCCUCGCCCACUUCUCAUGCUCCACAAGGUGGUUUUUGAACGCCGGAAGAACCAGGUCUACGUCCGCCUAGUAGAGGCUAUCUUCGCUUUAAUGCUGUACGGAGGACAACCGCCGUACCAGUUGUUUUGUGUACUUUUUAUUUGGAGAGGUCUGCUGCGUGGAUUCCUGCCGCGUUGGUUACUCCAUUAGGUACAUCAGAACUUCAUACGUGUAGUCCGUAGAGAUCUCAUACUACGAAGAUAGGACUAAGGACUACCGAGGAUAAGGAUGUGGAACUGUAGUUGGUAAAAACAAAACUUAUUAUAGGGUACAGUACACAAAUACAAUAUAAUAUUGUUGUUUGACCAUAUAUGAUUACACAAUACUCUGACUUUCUUUCUCGUUUCACACCUACUCACGUGAUCACACCUACACUAACUACAUAUAUAAUAGAUGGGCUACUUCUACCUUCACAAACAUAUACAUCCUCCUCCUCUCUUGUAUGGUAAAAGAUAUGUAAAUUUCUUCCAACCACCCGAUAAGUAAACGUGGCUAAAGUGGAGUAUUAUGAACACGAGAUAAAACUGAAUGAUUCUGAUAAAAAGAGGAGAUUUAGUUAUUACUGAGUUGUAGAGAAAAAUCUGUUUUCCGUAGAAGGGUAUACAUUUCGGAGCUUUUCUGGGCUACUUACCAAAGUGUGUGUGUGUGUGUGUGUUUGUGUGUGUAUGUGUGUGUGUGUGUGUCUCUCUCUCUCUCUAGAUUCGUGUGUAACUCUCUAUCCCUAGAUUCGCGUGUAACUCUCUCUCUCUCUCUCUCUCUCUCUCUCUAGAUUCGUGUAACUCGUUGGACUGUGGCUGUAAACGGUAGAGGUUACUUCUGAACAGGAGGGAGAAGUGACUAACCUAGUUUCGAUGUAUUUGUAUUCAUAAGAUAUUUAUUCGUUAGUUGGACAACUAAUCCCUAUUAGAUGAGUACAACGAUUGGAUAAAAGAUCAUUACGUCUCACGGAUCGAGAACCGUCGCUCCGUAUUGGUUUAUUGAGAUAUGCUGACUGAGCUCUAGGGGACUCAUUGUCACUAUUUAACCGGUUUUCAUCACCCCACGGUCACAAUAAAUACUUACGUAGAGGUGAACUUGGAACACAUAAGCUCCAGAGGUGUUUGUCGUGUUAGAAAGUCCGGAGGUGGAAGUAACUUAGAUCGAUGAUCUACCCCUUGCCGGGUAUAGUCAACGAUCUCCUUUUUAGAACUAGAAUUCCCUGAUUUACAACAAGCCUACCGGAAUUUUACGAUGAGUAAGGGACGAAAUAACUUGCCAAUCGCACAGUGAACGGGGUGUACAAGUAGUUCUUUAAGUGAGCUACAUUUCCAGGGAAGUAAUGAUGACGUAUCGGAGAACGUACAUGAGAGUAUAAACAUUACGUCAACAAACAGAAAUGGAACAAAAAGAGGUGUGCGUACAAGGAGAGUACGGGGUUAGGACCGGUGGUAAGCAAUGAAUAAACCUACUCUAGAUGAUGAAUUCGUAGAUGGAACGGUACAGAAUCACAACAUUAAAACAAGACAACGGAGGGCGAAGUAGUGGGAGGAGUUCGUGGAGCGAGGAUUUGUUGAAACUGGGGUAUCAUAUAAACGGGUUGGAGAUUAAUAUAAGAAAAACCUUAUUUAUUAUAUAGUUUUUUCACGUUGACUCGCUCUAAACCAUCCAAAAGAAUUUCUCAUUUAACCUGAGUAUACAUGUGGUCAUCGUAGAGAAUAUUAUCACCGUGUAUUAUUAUUCGUAUACAUACUAUUAUCUCAUUAGGUUUGUUAGACCGUACUAUUCUUAUCCAACGCUAGAUAAGUAUAUCGGAAUGUAGGUAUUAGGUGAUCUAGUUGUAUACGGUUUAGACUAAGAGCUUUCUCUUUUUUAUACGGUCUAGAUCACCGAUUAUGAGAGGAGUUUCAACAGUAUUGGGAACAUAUGUUCAUAAUUCAUUAUUUUAUUUCGUGACGUAUCUCGGACCGCUAUAUGUUGACUUCUAUGUUGGUAGGUUUCGAUCAACGUAUUUUAAAAGGUGUACCACUCCGUUAGGUUUGUUAGUACCGUAGUAUUCUUAAAAGGUACAUACAAUUAAACUGAGAACAAAUGAUCGAUCAAUUGUAAUGUACGUUAAUAACAGGUAAAGUAGAAAGUACGUUGUACUAAUACUAUCAUUAUCAACGUACACACACACGUGCGUGCACGCUUGCAGGAUCAUUUUAAAUUAAAGCUAAAACAUUAGAAUAGAAACUACCAGAAGAUGUUUAUUUGUAAGUUGGUAGAAUUAAAACCAACUGUUGGCAAGAAAUGAAAGAAAGGAAUGCCUUGACUGCUCGUAACGUUUUCCAAAAGUGAAGUAAGGAACCAUACGAUCUCACUUUUUUUUUUCUUAACUUGUGUACCAUAUUCCUACGUUGUUCCAUAGUCAAGGUUCCGCCUUUUUGACCCCUACUAUCAACGAAAACUGGUGUACCAAUCGAAUAAACUACCUGAUUUACAAAAAAGAAACAUCUACCGAGUGACGUAAAUACGAACUACUUUAGUAUCUAACACACGUUAGGGUGGAUGAUUUUAAACAACUUGCAGUACGGUAACUGUGUUGUCAUAAGACUUGUUAAAACUCGGAACAGCGAGGUCAAACAGAUAUAUACUUCGAACGUUAGACAUAGGUCAAGUGAAAUAAACGUAUGGAGAAGAUGUAUGUGAUUUAACAGACGACUCGUACAACCCUCAUCCUUUACUUUAUAACGUUCGACCAUUUGGAAGACUCUCCUAAUAAACUAUCGCAACAGAAUAGUAUAUGCUACGGAGUAAGAAAGUAGAACGGACUACGUUCAACCAUACACAUCGCGCGCCAUAACAAAGACAUGAUGACUAAAAUACACUAAGUUAGUCGAACGUUGAUGCCGUCGUUUAACACUACAAAAGUCUACAAAGAGCUUCAAAGGAUUACGAAGACGUAACGACUAACAGGUUCAACUCUAUAAAUUGUUCCUAGCGCAACUUUGAGCCGAGGUAAGAAUAAGGCUAACAAACGUGUAGUAUAAGUAACUAACGUUUAAACCGGUUUCCUUGAGAGACCGGAACCCAGAAGACAGUUUUAUCGUAUCGAUCCUACCCA